This 274-nucleotide ribosomal RNA is filed under the name uncultured bacterium. RNAcentral's name for it is "partial 16S ribosomal RNA". It matches the Rfam family "Bacterial small subunit ribosomal RNA", at positions 523 to 796 of the family's 1533-position model. The record is from RNAcentral.
AUACGGAGGGUGCAAACGUUAAUCGGAAUUACUGGGCGUAAAGCGCGCGUAGGCGGUUUAGUAAGUCGGAUGUGAAAGCCCUGGGCUCAACCUGGGAACUGCAUUCGAUACUGGCAGGCUAGAGUAUAGUAGAGGCAAGUGGAAUUCCGGGUGUAGCGGUGAAAUGCGUAGAUAUCCGGAGGAACAUCAGUGGCGAAGGCGACUUGCUGGACUAAUACUGACGCUGAGGAGCGAAAGCGUGGGGAGCGAACGGGAUUAGAAACCCCAGUAGUCC